GGCGGACGGGUGAGUAACGCGUGGGUAACCUGCCUCAUACAGGGGGAUAACAGUUAGAAAUGCUGCUAAUACCGCAUAAGACCACAGCACCGCAUGGUGCAGGGGUAAAAACUCCGGUGGUAUGAGAUGGACCCGCGUCUGAUUAGGUAGUUGGUGGGGUAACGGCCUACCAAGCCGACGAUCAGUAGCCGACCUGAGAGGGUGACCGGCCACAUUGGGACUGAGACACGGCCCAA
Molecule: ribosomal RNA, 236 nt
Filed under: uncultured bacterium
Lineage: Bacteria
Description: partial 16S ribosomal RNA
Rfam family: Bacterial small subunit ribosomal RNA
Source: RNAcentral